CCCCUGAGCCCCGAUUUUUAUGUCUUCUUUGGAUUAAAAAACAAAUGUUGAAUGUUCUCAAAUAAUAUAAUAUUGCCGUGCCAGUGUUUUUUUCAUUGAAAACGUGGGUGUUACCGGUGGCAGACCUCUGGUCUAGAUCAUCCCUAUUCACUUUUUUAAAUUGUAGUGUGACCUUAGUAUUCCUUUUUAUUUUUUAAUUUUAUGUUUGGGAAAAGUGUCAUUUUAGCUACAGUGAUUUUAUUUGAAAUUAACAUUAGUUCCUACCUGUCCUUGUUGACGGGGGGCAGGAAAAAGGUGACGCGCGUUGGAUAAGAGCGGCGUAAAGAAAAAAGUGUACAUGUGCCGUACUGUCUUGCCGUGUGGUGCAUUAAAGAAGAAUACCACAUAAAGAAAAUUGCCCGUACCAACAGCGAGAAAUCAGGGUUACAGUAGCUUGUCUGCCACAAAUCAAACGCUGCACGAGGGAGGGCGCAGCAUCGAGUGGGGACCACUCCUGUUUCAUUUCCUGGUGGUUCAAGCGACUCACCCUGGUCGCUCUGCAUUCUGCCGCCUCUGGUGGCCUCAUCUUUGUCGCCUCCGGUCGCAACAGCAGCGGUGCCUCCUUUCUCGUCGGCCACCUCGAUUCUCCAGUCUCCUGGACCGUCCUCAUCCUGGUGGACACUGUCGCUCCCUGUGGGUCUCAGAAGGCAAUCUUUGGAGUUUUGACGGCGGCCUCACAGAACCCUUUGGUGGUUCCUGGGCACUAAGUGUGCUGUUCUGACACAGCAGCAACAGCUGGGCAAAGACUCCUCUUGCCUGCACCCUCCUUCAAGAAAGGGUUUUGGACAUUGUUGUGCUCCUGCCCCUGUUAAAGGACACUUACACAUGGACUCUUUUCAUUUUUGCCUGAGUUAAAGCAUUCCAGUCUCUGUGUUUCCUAGUUCCCCUGUUUUCAUGAUUUUGUUCUGACCCUCUUCCAAUCCUCCCUCCGCCACCCUGCUAGUGUUUUGUUCAGCCUUAGAUUUAGCCUUAGAGAGAGCGGUUCUGUCAUGGAUCCAGCAUCAUGGGCUUGGCGUUGUGUGGCUUCCUGUUUUAUUUUGACCACUGUUUAGUUCCUGUCUGUGUUUGUCGGAUUUGUUCAUUCAUGUGACCGGUUCAGCUGUUUCCAUUUACUCAUUUAGUCAUGUCUUUAAGCCUCAGUUCCUGUGAUGGUUUUUGCCAGUUCUCUGCUCACGUUACCUGAUGUCAGCUUUCCAGCAUUUCCUGACAAGUGGUGUCAAGGAAAACAGCUGCAUCCUCCAUCUGUACAGCAGCUGCACUGCUUCCGAUGUCUUCCAACACGUGAAGACAAAAAAGAUCCUCACAUCUCCCCAGCCAACUGCCCAUGACUGUACCUGUUCCACUCCAGAAACUAUGCUUUCAACAUAACUAUGAAUCCUACCCGUUCAUUUUGUGGUCUGCAAAUUGAACUGUGACGGUAACUUAUCCAGCAUUAUAGUGCUGGUGCAUUGGUUAAAAAUAAAGUUGGCUUUGACUAUU
Betta splendens (Siamese fighting fish) is the source of this 1518-nucleotide long non-coding RNA. RefSeq lists it as uncharacterized. The record is from RefSeq and is a predicted model, not a curated record. The transcript is spliced from 2 exons. Lineage: Eukaryota; Metazoa; Chordata; Actinopteri; Anabantiformes; Osphronemidae.